GAUCAUGGCUCAGGAUGAACGCUGGCGGCGUGCUUAACACAUGCAAGUCGAACGAAGCACUUUAUUUGAUUUCCUUCGGGACUGAUUAUUUUGUGACUGAGUGGCGGACGGGUGAGUAACGCGUGGGUAACCUGCCUUGUACAGGGGGAUAACAGUUGGAAACGGUUGCUAAUACCGCAUAAGCGCACGGCAUCGCAUGAUGCAGUGUGAAAAACUCCGGUGGUAUAAGAUGGACCCGCG
RNAcentral lists this ribosomal RNA (240 nucleotides) under uncultured bacterium. Its description in RNAcentral is "partial 16S ribosomal RNA". It matches the Rfam family "Bacterial small subunit ribosomal RNA", at positions 15 to 235 of the family's 1533-position model. The record is from RNAcentral.